UUUUUUUUUUUUUUUUAGGGCCACACUCACAGCAUAUGGAAGUUCCCGGCGAGGGGUUGAAGUGGAGCUGCAGCUGCCAGGCAGCAACACCAGAUUUGAGCCAAGUCUGCAGCCUACACCACAGCUCAUGGCAACGCCAGAUCCUUAACCCACUAAUCGAGGCCAGGAAUGGAACUCACAUCCUCAUGGAUCUUAGUUGGGUUCGUUUCUACCGAGCCACAACAGGAACUCUGUAAAACACCUUUUAAAUUACUUGAAUUGGCUAAGGUCUUCCCUCUCUCCUGACUAUACUUCCAGUCUCUUAGAUUUCUUUUUGUUUCACUUUAUAUUUAAUUAAAAUUAAAAAAAUUUAAUAUAUCUGGAAUUUGCUUUUUGUGCGAUUGUAUGGGUUGUACUUUCAUUUUCUUCAGAUGGAGAGCUGUGCCAGCCUUUACUAAGUAACAUUCUUUCUUACUGAAAUAUAACUUUUUCAUGUAUUAACUUGUUACAUACUAGACUCUACUUCUGGACUCAAUUCUACUCUAUGAAUUAACAUCAUUUCUCUUUCAUUUGAACCUUAAAAUCACUUAGUCCAAUUUUGAUUUCAAAACCUCACCUAGUUGAAUUUCAAAUUAGUGGUAUUACAUUAAAAUGUUAAUUUGGGGGAAUUGAUAUUUCAUGAUAUUGUCUUCCCAUUCAAGACUAUACAAUUUCUUCAGACCUUGAUUUAUGUUCUUUAGUAAGACUUUUUUUUUUUUUUUGUCUUUUUAGCUAUUUCUUGGGCCGCUCCUGCGGCAUAUGGUGGUUCCCAGGCUAGGGGUCGAAUCGGAGCCGUAGCCACUGGCCUACGCCAGAGCCACAGCAACGAGGGAUCUGAGCCGCGUCUGCAACCUACACCACAGCUCACGGCAACGCCGGAUCCUUAACCCACUGAGCAAGGCCAGGGAUUGAAACUUCGUCCUCAUGGAUGCUAGUCAGAUCCCCUUCCGAUGAGCCACAGUGGGAGCUCUUAGUAAAACUUUAUAAUAGCUCUGUCUUGUUAGCUUUAUUCCUUGAGAUGCUUAUAAUUUUUGUCUGUCAUAUUUAUCCUUAUACCAACUUUGAAUUGCUUAUUGUGAAUAUAGGGGAAAAAUGCUAUUCUCAAGCACCUAUGGUCAGCUAGUCUAUGACAAAGGCGGCAAGGACAUACAGUGGAAGAAAAAUAGUCUCUUCAAUAAAUGGUGCUGGGCAAACUGGACAGCUACAUGUAAAAGAAUGAAAAUAGAGCACUAACACCAUACACAAAAAUAAACUCACAAUGGAUUCAAGACCUAAAUAUAAGGCCAGAUACUAUUAAACUAGAGGAAAACAUAGGCAGAAUGCUUUUUGACUUAAAUCACAGCAACAUCUUGUUUGAUCCACCUUCUAGAAUAAUGACAAUAAAGCAAUGGGAACUAAUCAAACUCAAAAGCUUUUGCACAGCAAAGGAAAUCAUUUAAAAAAAAAAAAAAAAGAGGGAGUUCCCGUCAUG
Molecule: long non-coding RNA, 1489 nt
Filed under: Sus scrofa (pig)
Lineage: Eukaryota; Metazoa; Chordata; Mammalia; Artiodactyla; Suidae
Description: lncRNA (ENSSSCG00060068123.1)
Source: RNAcentral